Molecule: RNA transcript, 5143 nt
Organism: Pan troglodytes (chimpanzee)
Lineage: Eukaryota; Metazoa; Chordata; Mammalia; Primates; Hominidae
Gene: CCSER1
Gene name: coiled-coil serine rich protein 1
Exons: 13
Source: RefSeq, a predicted model, not a curated record
ACAGCCCCGGAGCGCGGCCUGCCGGGGAGGUGGAUCUCGCGCUCCCCACAGUCACACUCCGCGCACUCACACACUUGGAAGCGCCUCCCCACGUCCCUCCCCUGCCCUCCUCUUGCUCUGCUCUUCUCUCCCUCACCACAAAUAGUCGCCGACCUACUGCCAAUCCGCCUCUCUCUGCCUCUCCUCUCUCUCUCUCUCUCUCUCUGUCUCAACAUGACUGACUGGGAAGCGGUGGCUCGGGCAGAGCAGCUCCGCUGGCGCAGGCAGGAGGAGCAGGAGGAUUAUUAAAUAACGCAGCUGGACUCUGUGCAACUGGGAGUGGAGAGGAGCCCAACAGCCGAGAAGGGGAGGGAGGGCAGAGGAGGGGGACCAGGAAGGACACCCCCGUGCCCCGAAGACAUAAAUCCCUGAGUGCCCGGGAGGAGCCUUAACAAGCGCACGGAGCCCUCAAGGCUGCAAAGUUGGCUUUCACAGUGCAAGCCUUUGAGUCCCAAUGGGGGACUCAGGAUCAAGACGAUCUACCCUGGUCUCCCGGUUGCCAAUAUUCAGAAGAAGUAUUAACAAAAGACAUGAUUCUCUUCCUUCUUCACCUUCUUCCAGUAAUACAGUUGGUGUCCACAGUUCCUCUCCUUCCAGCACUAACUCAAGCUCAGGUAGCACAGGUAAACGGAGGAGCAUAUUCCGUACUCCUUCCAUUAGCUUCCACCAUAAGAAGGGGAGUGAGCCUAAGCAAGAGCCUACCAACCAGAACCUUAGUAUUUCAAAUGGUGCUCAACCUGGUCACAGCAAUAUGCAGAAACUGAGUUUGGAAGAACAUAUUAAGACCAGGGGAAGACAUUCUGUUGGUUUUAGUAGUUCACGAAAUAAGAAGAUAACGAGAUCUUUGACAGAGGAUUUUGAAAGGGAAAAAGAGCACUCAACUAACAAGAAUGUCUUUAUAAAUUGUCUAAGUUCCGGCAGAAGUGAAGGGGAUGAUUCUGGUUUCACAGAAGACCAAACUCGUCGUUCUGUUAAGCAGUCAACAAGAAAGCUACUCCCUAAAUCUUUUUCAUCUCACUAUAAAUUUUCUAAGCCAGUUCUACAGAGCCAAUCCAUUUCAUUGGUACAACAGUCUGAAUUCUCACUGGAAGUUACACAGUACCAAGAGAGAGAACCUGUAUUAGUAAGAGCUUCGCCAUCCUGUUCUGUGGAUGUAACAGAACGGGCAGGAAGCUCUUUACAAUCUCCUUUGCUUUCUGCUGAUCUUACCACAGCUCAGACACCUUCAGAAUUUUUAGCCUUGACUGAAGAUUCUGUGUCUGAAAUGGAUGCAUUUUCUAAAAGUGGAAGCAUGGCAUCCCACUGUGACAACUUUGUCCACAAUGAUUCUACCUCUCAGAUGUCUCUCAAUUCUGCUGCUGUUACAAAGACAACAACAGAACUUACGGGAACUGUUCCCUGUGCAAUUAUGUCUCCUGGGAAAUAUAGGUUAGAGGGUCAAUGUAGCACUGAAUCUAAUUCAUUACCGGAAACCUCUGCUGCUAAUCAGAAGGAAGUGUUAUUACAAAUUGCUGAACUACCUGCUACAAGUGUGAGCCACUCAGAGAGUAACCUACCAGCAGAUAGUGAAAGAGAAGAAAAUAUAGGGUUACAAAAUGGUGAAACAAUGCUGGGGACAAACUCCCCAAGGAAACUUGGAUUUUAUGAGCAACAUAAAGCAAUAGCUGAACAUGUAAAAGGGAUCCAUCCUAUUUCAGAUUCAAAGAUAAUACCUACUUCUGGUGAUCAUCAUAUUUUUAACAAAACAUCACAUGGAUAUGAAGCAAAUCCUGCCAAAGUUCUUGCCAGUAGUCUCAGUCCAUUUCGUGAAGGAAGAUUUAUAGAGAGGAGACUGCGAUCCUCGUCAGAAGGCACUGCAGGGAGUAGCAGAAUGAUUUUGAAACCGAAAGAUGGAAAUAUAGAAGAAGUUAAUAGUUUAAGAAAGCAAAGAGCAGGUUCUUCAUCUUCAAAAAUGAACAGUUUGGAUGUUUUGAAUAAUUUGGGAUCUUGUGAACUGGAUGAAGAUGAUCUAAUGCUUGAUCUUGAAUUUUUAGAGGAACAGAGUCUUCACCCUUCUGAACUACUGCAGGAACAUACCAGGAAAGCCAAGAGAAUCCACAGACCUUUGAAGGAAUUGGAUCACCACCACAGGCUCCCUGAGACGGCAAAAAACUUUUGCCGGGAGGACUCAUAUCACUCUGUCGUCUCAUGUGCCGCAGUAGUUCUUACUCCUAUGGAACCAACGAUAGAAAUGAAGAAAAGAGAAGAACCAGAAUUUCCUGAGCCUUCCAAACAGAAUCUUUCCCUGAAAUUAACAAAGGACGUUGAUCAAGAAGCCAGGUGUUCCCACAUCAGCCGAAUGCCCAACAGUCCAUCUGCGGAUUGGCCUCUACAAGGUGUGGAAGAAAACGGAGGCAUAGAUUCUCUGCCAUUCAGACUGAUGUUACAGGACUGCACGGCAGUCAAGACGUUAUUAUUAAAGAUGAAGAGAGUUCUUCAAGAGAGUGCAGACAUGAGUCCAGCAAGCAGUACCACGUCACUUCCUGUUAGUCCUCUUACUGAAGAGCCAGUGCCUUUCAAGGAUAUAAUGAAAGAUGAAUGCUCGAUGCUCAAGCUGCAGCUGAAAGAGAAGGAUGAACUCAUUUCCCAACUUCAGGAAGAGCUGGGAAAAGUCCGGCAUUUACAGAAGGCUUUUGCUUCAAGAGUAGAUAAAUCCACACAGACUGAACUACUAGGCUAUGAUGAGCGUUAACGUCAUGAAUCCUGUGGUUCACCACUUCAUGUCUGAAGGGUUUAAACUUGAAAAGACUAGAGACAGUACAAGGAGGGAGAGAGGCAUCUUCUUUGGAUGGGUAUGCACACAUUUGAAAGUGUAGAUGAACGCAAAGAGAUUUUAUACCACUGCACUGUUCAUGUCCUGUAUGGCUUGCUGUUUACUGAACUGUGGCCUCUUCAUUUAUAUUUUGGUGAGUGUUUCAUCUCAUAAUGAUUGAUAAAAUAUUUACAAGUGACAGGGCUGACUCUUCCCUGAAGGCACAAAGAAAAAGAGUAUUAUGCUAGACAUUAAAAUGUUUAGGUACCUGGAUGUACUUUGAAGGAAAUGUUCCACAAGUGGAAGCGUUUGGUGUUAUAAUGGACCUCAUAAACAAAUCACUAGGUAGGAGAGAUUUACAAACAUUUUUAAGGACAUUGUCAGCAAGCGGUGUUGUCUGGGCUUACUAGGAACUCAGGACACAGAAAGUAGAAGAAUCUUUGCUAAAGAACAAUGCCUGUUAUGCCACAUAUUUUCAUAGAGGCUAUCCUUUAACAACUUAUUUGCACAGUGCAUUCUCAGUUCUGAAAAAUGUAUCCUUGCUGUUGCACUAGCAUGCACAUAUUUGGAAGUGUACAUAAACAAAAAGUUUGGGAAUUACUGGCCCAGGACAUUCAAAUCAUCAUUAGCCUAUUUUUUCAAAGAAUGUUAAUCAACCAUUUAGUGGAAUGUAGUCAACAGUAAUGUAUUGCCAAGUUAAUGACACCAAAAAUAUAAGGGAAAUAUUUGGGAGCCCUAGAUUUUUUUUUAACACAGAAGCAACCAAAUAAAUGUAUAAAACAUAAUUUGUAAUUUUUUAUGACUAGAAAUGAAUUAAGUUUACUUCUUAAUAAAAUGGAAAACAAUUGAAAUUAUUUGAAUAUGGUCAAAAAGUGGUUACUUUUUAGGCUACUGGCCUAAACCCUAUGGGAAAGUGAGCUGCCUACCUUUUUUAAGGACACUUUUUUUAGUUGUUCUCAUUUUCAUGCUGAGUUCUUUCCCUUGCAUAUUAUUCUGAAGUAUUUUCUCCUCCUCUUUUUUAAAAAUAGCAACAUAUUUUCAAAUACAAAAAGUGAGUAUUUUAAAUCUUGUCCGUCCUUUUUAGAUGAUUACUCUAUUCUAAUUUUACAACCACCUGUCCAGACAUUGGAGCACAUGCAGAUACCUCAUUGGCUUACUAUUCUUUUCCUUCUAAUGGCAAGGCUGAUAUUUGUUAAUACAGCUAUUUAAAAUAAAACCACCAACAACAAAUUCUUCAAGGAGGCCACUGAUGAUUCUGUAAAAAUGUAUGUGUGUGUGUUUGUGUGCAUGUGCACGCGUGUGCUCACAUGAAUGAGCUCAAGUGGGUUCCUAGACAGAUUUCAUUAAAUAGAAAGAAAGAGAGAAACAUACAAUCUGUUUGCUAGUAUACUGAUGUUUGCAGAAAACCCUUAUCAAAAUUUAAUGACCCUAAAGGUGGUUAUCGAUUUUCCUUUUUCUUCAGACAAUAUUUCAUUUGUGAUAUUGACUUGCCACAAAUGAAUGUUUGCUUAAGACAGUGUUACAUGUUAUAGAGCAAUACUACAUAAAAGGCUUGCAGCUCUUGUACUCUACAAGGAACAACCAAGGCACUCAUAGAUAGCAAUGGAAUGUAAAACCAAAGCCAACCUGUCUUUUUCAUUCUUUUCAUGUAUAUAUAGGAAUAUAUAAGAAUUUAAUUUUUUCCUUAGGUUUAUGAGGAAUAUCUUGCCAAUGUGAAUCUGGAUUUGGAAGAACGAUACGUUAGUGCAUUAGUUUCCCAGGCCUGCCAUAACAGAGGGCCACAAACUGGGUGGCUUAACCAACAGCAAUUUAUUGUCUCAGAUUUCUGAAGGCUAGAGGUCCAAGAUCAAGGUAUUGGCAGGGCCUUCCUGCCUCUGAAGGCUCUAGGGAAUGAUAUAUUCCAGGCCUCUCUCUUAACAUCUCAUAGUUACUUUGGCAUGUGGCAGCAAUUCCAAUCCUCACAAUCUCCUUAUGUGGUUGUCUGUCUCCAAAUUUACCUUUUUAAUAAAAACACUAGUCAUAUUAGAGCCCACCUACUAAAGCUUAGAGUGGAAGCUUAGCUAGUUUUAGACACCCCUAUGCCACAUCCCAUGUUCUGCAUUCCACGAUUGUGGCUUGAGUCCUUUUAAUCGCAACAUUGGCCUGAUUGGCUGCCAUUUUAUUAUCGUGCCUUGACCAUUGUUAUUCCCUGCUCUGCUGUGCUUUCUUGCAUAAUGACAAUGUCUUCCCUGGGCCAGAUUGGAAGAAGAAUUGUCCUGGGCCAAACAUAAAAUACACGAACACUAACAAUAGCUGAUGAGCUAAAACCAAUGC